Molecule: ribosomal RNA, 1352 nt
Filed under: metagenome
Description: SSU rRNA
Rfam family: Eukaryotic small subunit ribosomal RNA
Source: RNAcentral
UCUGGUUGAUCCUGCAAGUAGUCAUAUGCUUGUCUCAAAGAUUAAGCCAUGCAUGUCUAAGUAUAAAUAGUGUACAGUGAAACUGCGAAUGGCUCAUUAAAACAGUUAUAGUUUAUUUGAUAAUUGACAAUUACAUGGAUAACCGUGGUAAUUCUAGAGCUAAUACAUGCUUAAACGCCCGACUUUAUGGAAGGGUGGUAUUUAUUAGACUGAAGCCAAUAUUCCUUGUGUCUAUUGCGGUGAUUCAUAAUAACUGAUCGAAUCUCUUUUUGAGAUAAAUCAUUCAAGUUUCUGCCCUAUCAGCUUUCGAUGGUAGUGUAUUGGACUACCAUGGCAGUAACGGGUAACGAAGAAUUAGGGUUCGAUUUCGGAGAGGGAGCAUGAGAAACGGCUACCACAUCUAAGGAAGGCAGCAGGCGCGUAAAUUACCCAAUCCUGACUCAGGGAGGUAGUGACAAGAAAUAGCAAACCGGGAACCUCAUGGUUUCACGGUAUUGCAAUGAGAACAAUUUAAAACCCUUAGCGAGAAUCAAGUGGAGGACAAGUCUGGUGCCAGCACCCGCGGUAAUUCCAGUUCCACUAGCGUAUAUUAAAGUUGUUGCAGUUAAAAAGCUCGUAGUUGAACCUCUGUCUGGGGCUAGUUUUGGCUUUGGUCAGGCUAGUUCUAGGCAUCCGCCUACAAGACUUAGAGGGCAUUCAGUUGUUCACUAGGAGGAGUAGGCAUUUUACUUUGAAAAAAUUAGAGUGUUUAAGGCAGGCAAUCGCCCGCAUAUAUUAGCAUGGAAUAAUAGAAUAGGACACUUUUCCAUUUCGUUGGUUAUUGGAAUCGUGUAAUGAUUAAUAGGGACAGUUUGGCAUUUGUAUUUAAUUGUCAGAGGUGAAAUUCUUGGAUUUAUUAAAGACAAACUAACGCGAAAGCAUUUGCCAAGGAUGUUUUCAUUAAUCAAGAACGAAAGUUAGGGGAUCAAAGACGAUCAGAUACCGUCCUAGUCUUAACUAUAAACUAUUCCGACUCAAUGUUUGACUGGCUUAUAUAACCAGUUGAGCGUUGUAUGAGAAAUCAAAGUCUUUAGGUUCUGGGGGGAGUAUGGUUGCGAAGCUGAAACUUAAAGGAAUUGACGGAAGAGCACAACCAGGAGUGGAUUCUGCGGCUUAAUUUGACUCAACACGGGGAAACUUACCAGGUUAAAACAAUAGUGGGAUUGACAGUCUGAGAGCGCUUUCUUGAUUGGUUGGGUGGUGGUGCAUGGCCGUUCUUAGUUGGUGGAGUGAUUUGUCUGCUUAAUUGCGUUAACGAACGAGACCUUAACCUGCUUACUAGACUGGCGAUCAUCAAUCGUUAGCUCUUCUUA